RNAcentral lists this non-coding RNA (421 nucleotides) under Stegodyphus mimosarum. RNAcentral's name for it is "eukaryotic small subunit ribosomal RNA". It matches the Rfam family "Eukaryotic small subunit ribosomal RNA", at positions 91 to 470 of the family's 1831-position model. Lineage: Eukaryota; Metazoa; Arthropoda; Arachnida; Araneae; Eresidae. The record is from Rfam by way of RNAcentral.
AUGGCUAGUCCAUUUCGGCCGUACAUUUUGGUUUUAAACAAAAAUUCUUUGUGGCCACAUUCGUUACCCCGCAUGUAAAGAUAUUUGAAAAACUUCGGGACUAACUGCCCCUAAUACAUACAGCAGAGCACCGAUUCUCAGAGAAAGAGCGCUUUUAUUAGAUCAAAAGCAAUCAGACCACGUGUCCAUAUUACGUGUUGACUCUGAGUAACUUUUUGUUGAUCGCACGGGCGUAUCCGACGUAUCUUUCAAGUGCCUGCCUAAGGUAACUGCCGAUGGUAAGUUACGUGCUUAUCGUGGCUGUAACGGAUGACGGGGUAUCAGGAUUCGAUUCCGGAGAAGAAGACUGAGAAAGGGCUACCAAUUCCAAGGAAGGCAGCAGGCGCGUAAAUUCCCCAUUCCCCAAACGGGGAGGUAGUGA